GACGAGCCUGACAAACGUUAUUCGGAAUCACUGGGCUUAAAGGGUGCGUAGGCGGCGCGGAGGGUGGGAUGUGAAAUCCCCCGGCUCAACCGGGGAAUUGCGUCCCAAACCGCCGUGCUCGAGGAAGAUAGAGGUGAGCGGAACAGAUGGUGGAGCGGUGAAAUGCGUUGAUAUCAUCUGGAACACCCGUGGCGAAGGCGGCUCACUGGGUCUUCUCUGACGCUGAGGCACGAAAGCUAGGGUAGCGAACGGG
This 253-nucleotide ribosomal RNA is filed under the name uncultured bacterium. RNAcentral's name for it is "partial 16S ribosomal RNA". It matches the Rfam family "Bacterial small subunit ribosomal RNA", at positions 524 to 776 of the family's 1533-position model. The record is from RNAcentral.